UACGUAGGCAGCGAGCGUUGUUCGGAGUUACUGGGCGUAAAGGGUGUGUAGGCGGUUGUUUAAGUUUGGGGUGAAAUCUCCCGGCUCAACUGGGAGGGUGCGCCGAAUACUGAAUGACUUGGAGUGCGGGAGAGGAAAGUGGAAUUCCUGGUGUAGCGGUGAAAUGCGUAGAUAUCUGGAGGAAUACCGGUGGCGAAGGCGGCAUCCUGGACCGACAUUGACGCUGAUGAGCGAAAGCUAGGGGAGCAAACGGG
Molecule: ribosomal RNA, 254 nt
Filed under: uncultured bacterium
Lineage: Bacteria
Description: partial 16S ribosomal RNA
Rfam family: Bacterial small subunit ribosomal RNA
Source: RNAcentral